GUUCGAGCGCCAUUUUCACCAUCGAGCCCUGCUCGGCGAUGGGCCUCGUCCUAACGGACGGGCUCGAAACCCGUGGGCGCCGUUGUCCGGCCCUGAGCGUAGCAAGAGAAAUCCCUCGCUCGGAGUGUCGUCCGGUGGCCGCCCCGACAACCAUUAACAAGGUUGGCCUCGGAUCAGGUGGGGAUACCCGCUGAACUUAA
Molecule: unclassified non-coding RNA, 200 nt
Filed under: soil metagenome
Description: partial contains internal transcribed spacer 2 and large subunit ribosomal RNA
Source: RNAcentral